CGUGACCCGCAGCGCCUCGCCCCUGCUCCGGAGCCCCGCCCCCGGGGUGGUGCAGCCCACGCCUGCCCGGCGUGCCCAAUCGGGACAACAGAGUGCCUCUGCCAACCAGACUAUAAGAAGAGAGAGAUGGGAGAUUAGGGUGGGUCCUGGCCACCUCACCAGGGGAGAGAGCAUCAGUGGAGUACGGCCCUUAGAGACCUGGACUUGUCUUGGUCCUGAUAAUCUUCAUCCUCCCAUAGGGGAGAAGAGGCUGAGAAACUGAGGCCCAGAGAAUGAAGCAACAGUUAAAUGAGCGAAGCACUUAACAAACUUCAAGUCCGUAGGUGCCUUUUCUCCGGCUGUCAGUAAGUGCAGAGGCAACUAUGAUGCCCUAGGGUGUUAACUGUUGUUUGCACUUAACACAUUUACUUCCCCCUUCUUUCUUUCUUAUUUUUAUUCACUCUGUUGCUUUUACAGCCAGCAUGUUAAGCUUCCUCAAACCCUGUUGGAAUAGAAAGGGCAUAUCUAGGAGAGCUGACUCCAAGAUUGUCCCCAGUUUCUCCAGCACAAGAAGAGGCAGGAAGUCAGGGGCACAUGGUCUCUCCAAAAAUAAAGUUGAUAA
Molecule: long non-coding RNA, 601 nt
Organism: Panthera uncia (snow leopard)
Lineage: Eukaryota; Metazoa; Chordata; Mammalia; Carnivora; Felidae
Exons: 3
Source: RefSeq, a predicted model, not a curated record